AGAGGGCGUGAAACCGCUUAGAAGGAAACGUGAGGCGUCGCAGUAAGCCAGUGGAAUUCAAUCGGUCCGGCAGGGCUGGUGCAUUUUCCAUUGGUGCGCACUGUGGGACUUGCUGUUCUUUGUCGGUAGCAUUGCUGAAGGGAACCUCCUUUUCAGGUGGAACUUUGCGGUUGUGUCGCUUUCAUCGACUGGCUUGUGAUCAUCCAGCCUUUGGGCACUCUAGUGGCUGUGCUCUGUGGUUGCUGCCUUUGCUGAGAAAACUCGGCCUGGGCGGUAGUUGCGCUGUGUAGUUGCAAUGUGGCUGUUGGAUGUCCCGGUGUUAAUGCCGGCCACCCUCACGACCCGUCUUGAAACACGGACCAAGGAGUCUAACAUGUGCGCGAGUCAUUGGGCGUUAAACCCAUAGGCGCAAUGAAAGUAAAGGUCGGCUCGGUCGGCUAACACAUGACCCGGCGAGUUGUCGCUGGAGCAGUGUGGUCCCAUCCCGUUUGCUCGUCAAUGGGGUGGAGACAGA
RNAcentral lists this ribosomal RNA (514 nucleotides) under Desmoscolecidae sp. 123_6-1000_T. RNAcentral's name for it is "eukaryotic LSU rRNA". It matches the Rfam family "Eukaryotic large subunit ribosomal RNA", at positions 392 to 799 of the family's 3401-position model. The record is from RNAcentral. Lineage: Eukaryota; Metazoa; Nematoda; Chromadorea; Desmoscolecida; Desmoscolecidae.